Molecule: ribosomal RNA, 1344 nt
Filed under: metagenome
Description: bacterial LSU rRNA
Rfam family: Bacterial large subunit ribosomal RNA
Source: RNAcentral
CAUGCUUCCAAGAAAAGCUUCUAAGCUUCAGAUAUAAAGGAACCGUACUGUAAACCGACACAGGUGAUCAGGUAGAGAAUACCAAGGCGCUUGAGAGAACUCGGGUGAAGGAACUAGGCAAAAUGGUACCGUAACUUCGGGAGAAGGUACGCCGGUUUGGGUGAUGGGACUUGCUCCUUGAGCCUGGGCUGGCCGAAGUGACCAGGUGGCUGCGACUGUUUAUUAAAAACAUAGCACUGUGCAAACACGUAAGUAGACGUAUACGGUGUGACGCCUGCCCGGUGCCGGAAGGUUAAUUGAUGGGGUUAUCUUCGGAGAAGCUCUUGAUCGAAGCCCCGAUAAACGGCGGCCGUAACUAUAACGGUCCUAAGGUAGCGAAAUUCCUUGUCGGGUAAGUUCCGACCUGCACGAAUGGCGUAACGAUGGCCACACUGUCUCCACCCGAGACUCAGUGAAAUUGAAAUCGCUGUUAAGAUGCAGUGUACCCGCGGCUAGACGGAAAGACCCCGUGAACCUUUACUAUAGCUUCACACUGGACUCUGACCUUACUUGUGUAGGAUAGCUGGGAGGCUUUGAAGCGGUGGCGCCAGCCAUCGUGGAGCCAACCUUGAAAUACCAGCCUGGUAAUGUUGGGGUUCUAGCUCAGGUCCGUAAUCCGGAUCGAGGACAGUGUGUGGUGGGUAGUUUGACUGGGGCGGUCUCCUCCCAAAGAGUAACGGAGGAGCACGAAGGUGCGCUAAUCACGGUCGGAAAUCGUGAGGUUAGUGUAAAGGCACAAGCGCGCUUGACUGCGAGUCUGACAAGACGAGCAGGUACGAAAGUAGGUCUUAGUGAUCCGGUGGUUCUGUAUGGAAGGGCCAUCGCUCAACGGAUAAAAGGUACUCCGGGGAUAACAGGCUGAUACCGCCCAAGAGUUCACAUCGACGGCGGUGUUUGGCACCUCGAUGUCGGCUCAUCACAUCCUGGGGCUGAAGCCGGUCCCAAGGGUAUGGCUGUUCGCCAUUUAAAGUGGUACGCGAGCUGGGUUUAGAACGUCGUGAGACAGUUCGGUCCCUAUCUGCCGUGGGCGUUGGAGAAUUGAGGGAAGCUGCUCCUAGUACGAGAGGACCGGAGUGGACGAACCGCUGGUGUUCGGGUUGUGUCGCCAGACGCAUUGCCCGGUAGCUACGUUCGGACAGGAUAAGCGCUGAAAGCAUCUAAGCGCGAAGCCCCUCCCAAGAUAAGUUCUCCCUGACCCCUUGAGGGUCCUGAAGGGCCGUCGAAGACUACGACGUUGAUAGGCUGGGUGUGUAAGCGUUGUAAGGCGUUGAGCUAACCAGUACUAAUUGCCCGUGAGGCUUGACC